CACACCGUAAACGAUGAUUACUAGGUGUGGGGAGAUUGACCCUCUCCGUGCCGCAGUUAACACAAUAAGUAAUCCACCUGAGUAGUACGGCCGCAAGGUUGAAACUCAAAGGAAUUGACGGGGGCCCGCACAAGCAGUGGAGUAUGUGGUUUAAUUCGACGCUACGCGAAGAACCUUACCAGGUCUUGACAUCCGACUAACGAAGCAGAGAUGCAUCAGGUGCCCUUCGGGGAAAGUCGAGACAGGUGG
RNAcentral lists this ribosomal RNA (249 nucleotides) under uncultured Oscillospiraceae bacterium. Its description in RNAcentral is "partial 16S ribosomal RNA". It matches the Rfam family "Bacterial small subunit ribosomal RNA", at positions 796 to 1041 of the family's 1533-position model. The record is from RNAcentral. Lineage: Bacteria; Bacillati; Bacillota; Clostridia; Eubacteriales; Oscillospiraceae.